UACGUAGGGUGCAAGCGUUGUCCGGAAUUAUUGGGCGUAAAGAGCUCGUAGGCGGUCUGUCGCGUCGGAUGUGAAAACCCAGGGCUCAACCCUGGGCCUGCAUUCGAUACGGGCAGACUAGAGUUCGGUAGGGGAGACUGGAAUUCCUGGUGUAGCGGUGAAAUGCGCAGAUAUCGUGAGGAAGACCAGUGGCGAAGGCGGAUCUCUGGACAGUUCCUGACGCUGAGGCACGAAGGCCAGGGGAGCAAACGGG
This 253-nucleotide ribosomal RNA is filed under the name uncultured bacterium. RNAcentral describes it as "partial 16S ribosomal RNA". It matches the Rfam family "Bacterial small subunit ribosomal RNA", at positions 524 to 776 of the family's 1533-position model. The record is from RNAcentral.